GACGGAGGAGGCAAGAGUUAUCCGGAAUUAUUGGGCGUAAAGGGUACGUAGGCGGCUGGUCAAGUCUGGGGUCAAAGGCCACAGCUCAACUGUGGGAAGGCCCUGGAAACUGACCGGCUAGAGUGAGGUAGGGGUUGCGGGAAUUCCAGGUGUAGCGGUGAAAUGCGUAGAGAUCGGGAAGAACACCUGAGGCGGAAGCGCGCAACCGGGCCUCAACUGACGCUGAGGUAAGAAAGCUAGGGGAGCGAAUGGG
RNAcentral lists this ribosomal RNA (253 nucleotides) under uncultured bacterium. RNAcentral describes it as "partial 16S ribosomal RNA". It matches the Rfam family "Bacterial small subunit ribosomal RNA", at positions 524 to 776 of the family's 1533-position model. The record is from RNAcentral.